This 931-nucleotide long non-coding RNA is filed under the name Panax ginseng (ginseng). Its description in RNAcentral is "long non-coding RNA (PGIN_LNC009087)". Lineage: Eukaryota; Viridiplantae; Streptophyta; Magnoliopsida; Apiales; Araliaceae. The record is from RNAcentral.
AGUAUUCCACCCAUAUCGAUCCGUAUGGACCGUAUCUACCUAGUGGUGGAGUAAUUGAUCUGUGCGUCUCUUCAGAAUAUCUAUCCAUGCAUAUCCCCAUGCAUGGAAAAACGAGCGAGUUAAAAUUAAAGAAGUUUAGGAGGCAGUGAUCAUCAAUUCAUUAUCGAGAGUCGAGACAGAGCUUAUCCAUUAGCCUUUAUAAAUACUCGACCAUCUUAAUUCUUAUGGUUCAUCAUCUUUUAAAGAAAUUUUAGUGCUCGGUCGGCCGGUAGUAUAUAUAUAUAUCUAUUAAGCAUCUUGUAAAUGGCGGGUGGCAAAGGAGGCGGCGGUGGCGGAGGAAAAGGAGGCGGUGGUGGUAAAGGGGGAGGUGGGAGCAGCUCCUCUAAAGGUGGUGGCGGUGGAGGACCAGUUUAAGGAGGUAGUGGAAGUAGCUCUUCUAAAGGGAACAGCGCCGUUGGAGGAGGCUCAGGAGAGAUGAAGCCUCCAGGAGGAGAUGGCUCAUACAUUUCGAGGUCCGGUUUUGAAAGUAAUCCUCAGGGCUACUUUUCGGAUUUGCAUGCUUCUGGAAAGGCUAAAUAAAUCAUAGACUAACUAGCUGGAUCUUGGUAGACGCAUGUAAACUACUCGUAUGGAGUACCCUACUUUGUUUUUUUGUUGCUAUCCUACGUACUUUGAUUUUGUAGGCUUUUAUUUUGCUUUGUUUUCAUGAUUUUUUUUCUUUUAUGGGUGAAGGGGUUGUGUUGUGUUUGUGUGUGUAUCAGUGUGUAUUUAUAACUAAAGUUAGGAAUCGGGACGGUUCAUGAAUAGUUAGGAAUUGGGACAGUUUAAUGAAUCGUACCGUGCAAGGGCUUAAUUAUAACUAAAGUUUAAUAUGUUAUAUAUAUAAUUUUCUUAUUAAGAAUAAAUUUAAACUUUUUUAUUCUUAUUUUUU